Molecule: ribosomal RNA, 428 nt
Filed under: uncultured bacterium
Lineage: Bacteria
Description: partial 16S ribosomal RNA
Rfam family: Bacterial small subunit ribosomal RNA
Source: RNAcentral
GUGGGGAAUAUUGGGCAAUGGGCGGAAGCCUGACCCAGCGACGCCGCGUGGGGGAAGAAGUCUUUCGGGAUGUAAACCCUUGUUGUACGGGACGAAGGAAGUGACGGUACCGUACGAGGAAGCCCCGGCAAACUACGUGCCAGCAGCCGCGGUAAUACGUAGGGGGCGAGCGUUGUCCGGAAUCACUGGGCGUAAAGCGCACGUAGGCGGGCUGUCAAGUCGGCCGUGAAAGGCACGGGCUCAACCUGUGCAUGUCGGUCGAUACUGGCGGUCUGGAGUAUGGGAGAGGGAACUGGAAUUCCCGGUGUAGCGGUGAAAUGCGUAGAUAUCAGGAAGAACACCGGAGGCGAAGGCGGCUUACUGGACAAUAACUGACGUUGAGGCUCGAAAGCGUGGGAAGCAAACAGGAUUAGAUACCCUGGUAGUCC